CAUUGGAUGAGAAGGAAGGAUGGGUGGGAGGAAAAGUUUUAGAGGGAGGAGGAGACUGUAGGAGAGAGAAGAACCAGCGGAGAGAACGUGGAGGCUGAUGUUAAGAUUCCUCUCUGCACAUUUACAGCAACACUGGUUAGCUUUAAUUGUCACCCUGACAAAGCCAAGAGUCAUCUGAGAAGAGAAGCUUCAAUUGAGGACUUGCUCAGGAGGUCAUCAUGGGUGUUAAUUCAUACUGGAGGGUCCAGCCCACAGUGGGUGAUGUCAUCUAGAAUCUGAUUUAGCUUAGCUUGGAGACAGCACAUGAACAGUGCACCUGCUCUUAGAGGACACCCUCAGCUCACAUUUCACAAGGACUUGAGAGUUUUCUGGGCAUCCCUCCAUGAAUGGGGUCUCACUAUUCGUCGCUCAGCCUUGCCUUCUAAGUUAGACCGUGGAAAGUUUUGUGAAACUCGGGGUUUUGGGAGACUCCCUUCUCUGCCAUUGAAAGAAAGAAACCCAGCUGUGCAAACAGCAGACCUGUGAGGACAGACUGUGAGGAGAUGCGUGCCGGCUCUUCCUGGGAGGACGUUUGUCUGCCAUGCGCUAGGGCCCCUCAGCUGGGAGACCAAGGGUGGAGGUGACACCAGACUGGUGAUGGCUGACAGAAAAAGGACGAAAACGGCUGAGAACCAGAAGCUGAAGAAAGUAAGCCAUAUUGUCCGUCCCACCCCCACCUCCACCGUGUUAAUGUUAUCUGUUGGUUGGUUUGGGGGUUUUAGAGUUGUUUUGAGACAGACUCUCAUGUAGCCGAGGCUGGCCUUGAACUGCUCAUCCUCAUGCCUCACCCUCCCCAAUGAUAAGAUUAUAGGCAUGUGCUACGGUGUGCCAAUAAUUCUGUUCUUGAAACAGGGUCUUAACUAUGUAGCCAAGUCUGUGUUCUAGAGCUCAUGGUCUUCCUGCUUUGGCCUCUCAGGAGUUACAAUCGCAGGGCAGAGACCCACAUCCAACUUUCUCUCUUUUACCAUCUUUCCUUCUCCUUGUGAGAUCUCAGGCUUUAAGGCAAUGGCCAGGGUUUGAAUUUCAGGGCAUCAGAUAUUGUUCCUUUGCUCUGGGUAAUCUGCCUAACAUCUCUAGACCUCAGCUUCCUCACCUUCGAAGUGGGUAAAAUGAUGUCACAGUUGUAAGGUCUCUUCAGUGAGACCCUGAAUGGUCCCUUGUUGGCAGGGAGGGCUGUUUUCUGUUUCCGGUGCUGGGAACAGAAUCUAGGGCCUUGGUGGGCUGAAUCCCCAUUGCUGAGCUCAUAAACAUACAGAGCAGAUGGGGAUGCCUCUGGGCACCAGCUUGAGAGUCCGUCAACAGCUUUUCCCUCCUUUUUUCCUUUAGCUUCUUGAUCAUCCUGGAUCUGCCUUUCACACGGAUCUCAGCGGCACCGCAGCCAUUCUCGCACAAAGACUUCUGUGAGGUCGUAUGGGAUCCCUGUUAACCAUCUCCAAUUAGGCUAAGUAAGAAACUCAAUUUGGGGUUCUUUCAGAAAAACAGCUAAUUCAAUAAAGCCGGAUCGUGAUUUCCUAAGAA
Non-coding RNA from Rattus norvegicus (Norway rat), 1557 nucleotides. The record is from RefSeq and is a predicted model, not a curated record. NCBI's taxonomy places the organism in Eukaryota, Metazoa, Chordata, Mammalia, Rodentia, Muridae.